Molecule: transfer RNA, 87 nt
Filed under: compost metagenome
Description: tRNA-Ser
Rfam family: tRNA
About the family: Transfer RNA (tRNA) molecules are approximately 80 nucleotides in length. Their secondary structure includes four short double-helical elements and three loops (D, anti-codon, and T loops).
Source: RNAcentral
GCGCGGGUGUUGGAAUUGGUAGACAAGCUGGUCUCAGAAGCCAGUGUUCGAAAGGACAUGGGGGUUCAAGUCCCCCCUCGCGCACCA